Molecule: ribosomal RNA, 370 nt
Filed under: uncultured prokaryote
Description: bacterial SSU rRNA
Rfam family: Bacterial small subunit ribosomal RNA
Source: RNAcentral
UACGGAGGAUCCAAGCGUUAUCCGGAUUUAUUGGGUUUAAAGGGUGCGUAGGCGGAAUGAUAAGUCAGUGGUGAAAGCCUGCAGCUCAACUGUAGAAUUGCCGUUGAUACUGUCAUUCUUGAGUAUAUUUGAUGUGGGCGGAAUGUGUCAUGUAGCGGUGAAAUGCUUAGAUAUGACACAGAACACCGAUCGCGAAGGCAGCUCACAAAACUAUAACUGACGCUGAGGCACGAAAGCGUGGGGAUCAAACAGGAUUAGAUACCCUGGUAGUCCACGCCGUAAACUAUGAUUACUCGAUGUUUGCGAUACACUGUAAGCGUCUAAGCGAAAGCGUUAAGUAAUCCACCUGGGGAGUACGCUCGCAAGAGUG